RNAcentral lists this long non-coding RNA (277 nucleotides) under Nicotiana benthamiana. RNAcentral describes it as "long non-coding RNA (NBEN_LNC023394)". The record is from RNAcentral. Lineage: Eukaryota; Viridiplantae; Streptophyta; Magnoliopsida; Solanales; Solanaceae.
UGCGCUUUGGUUGUACUAGCAUGAUUUUCAGGUAUAGGUUUUAAUGAAUGACAAACAAUGAAGUCAACUUGUUAAACAAUGUUAUUGUAUGACAAACAAUGAAGAUGCAUUAGCAAACAAUCAAGAUUGAAUGCCGGAAGCAUAUUGAUGAAUGGAUUGCAUGGAAAAGCCAAGACGAGCUCAAAAGUUCAAGACCGAAGACCCAAGGCAUAGGUAGCUAGGUAGAACCAAUGUAAGAGCAACGUUUAAGUUAUCUCGUCUUUUGGCUCAACAUAGG